RNAcentral lists this microRNA precursor (86 nucleotides) under Oryza longistaminata (longstamen rice). RNAcentral describes it as "pre miRNA MIR1846". It matches the Rfam family "MIR1846 microRNA precursor family", at positions 1 to 86 of the family's 110-position model. Lineage: Eukaryota; Viridiplantae; Streptophyta; Magnoliopsida; Poales; Poaceae. The record is from RNAcentral.
CCUAGCCGUCGUCGCCGCCCGUGAGGAGGCUGGGGCCAUCGGAUCCAGCGAGCCCGAUCUCCUCGCCAGCGGAUCCGGCUAACCGG